This 1307-nucleotide ribosomal RNA is filed under the name metagenome. RNAcentral describes it as "bacterial LSU rRNA". It matches the Rfam family "Bacterial large subunit ribosomal RNA", at positions 1587 to 2925 of the family's 2925-position model. The record is from RNAcentral.
AUAGUGACCCUAAUCAUGCUCGCGAGAAAAACCUCUAAGGCUCGGUUAUUACAACCCGUACCGUAAACCGACACAGGUAGUCGAGAAGAGUAUUCUAAGGCGCUCGGGUGAGCCACGGAGAAGGAACUAGGCAAAUUGUAGCUGUAACUUCGGGAUAAAGCUAUCCCUCCGCAAGGGGGGAUUCAAUGAAAUGGUUCAACCAACUGUUUAGCAAAAACACAGGGCCCUGCAAAAUCGAAAGAUGACGUAUAGAGCCUGAUACCUGCCCGGUGCUGGAAGGUUAAGGAAGCUUGUUAGCAGCAAUGCGAAGCUUGUGACCGAAGCCCCAGUAAACGGCGGCCGUAACGAUAACGGUCCUAAGGUAGCGAAAUUCCUUGUCGGGUAAGUUCCGACCUGCACGAAUGGUCUAAUGAGUUGAACACUGUCUCCUCCGUGAGCCCGGUGAAAUUGUAGUAUCGGUGAGGAUGCCGGUUACCCGCCACGGGACGAAAAGACCCCGUGAACCUUCACUACAACUUUGCAUUGAUUUUGAGUAACAGAUGUGUAGCAUAGUUGGGAGACUUUGAAGCAGUGGCGCCAGCCAUUGUGGAGUCAACGUUGAAAUACCAACCUUCUGUUACUUAGAGUCUAAUCCGCGUAAGUGGAGACAUUGCAUGGUGGGUAGUUUGACUGGGGUGGUCGCCUCCUAAAGUGUAACGGAGGCUCGCAAAGGUACCCUCAGUACGGUUGGUAAUCGUACGCAGAGCGCAUUAGUAAAAGGGUGCUUGACUGUGAGACUGACUAGUCGAGCAGGUGCGAAAGCAGGCUAAAGUGAUCCGGUGGUUUCCGUAUGGAAGGGCCAUUGCUCAAAGGAUAAAAGGUACUCCGGGAUGACAGGCUGAUCUCCCCCAAGAGCUCAUAUCGACGGGGAGGUUUGGCACCUCGAUGUCGGUUCGUCACAUCCUGGGGCUGGAGAAGGUCCCAAGGGUUCGGCUGUUCGCCGAUUAAAGUGGCACGUGAACUGGGUUCAGAACGUCGCAAGACAGUUCGGUCUCUAUCUGUGGUGGGCGUUAGUAAAUUGCGAGGACAUGCUCUUAGUACGAGAGGACCGGAGCGUAUGUACCGCUGGUGUAUCUGUUGUUCCGCCAGGGGCAGUGCAGAGUAGCUAUGUACAGUCAGGAUAAGCGCUGAAAGCAUCUAAGCGCGAAACCUUCCUCAAGAUGAGUUUACUUUUAAGUGCCGUGGAAGACUACCACGUUGAUAGGCUACAGGUGUAAAGGUGGUAACAUCAAAGCCGAGUAGUACUAAUUGCACGUAAGCUUUAACCA